UACCAGCACCCCGAGUGGUCGGGACGAUUAUUGGGCCUAAAGCAUCCGUAGCCGGUCAUGCAAGUCCUCCGUUAAAUCCACCUGCUUAACAGAUGGGCUGCGGAGGAUACUACAAGGCUAGGAGGCGGAAGAGGCAAGCGGUACUCAGUGGGUAGGGGUAAAAUCCUCUGAUCCAAUGAAGACCACCAGUGGCGAAGGCGGCUUGCCAAUACGCGCUCGACGGUGAGGGAUGAAAGCUGGGGGAGCAAACCGG
This 253-nucleotide ribosomal RNA is filed under the name uncultured bacterium. RNAcentral's name for it is "partial 16S ribosomal RNA". It matches the Rfam family "Archaeal small subunit ribosomal RNA", at positions 474 to 727 of the family's 1478-position model. The record is from RNAcentral.